RNAcentral lists this ribosomal RNA (447 nucleotides) under Calanus marshallae. RNAcentral's name for it is "partial 16S ribosomal RNA". It matches the Rfam family "Bacterial large subunit ribosomal RNA", at positions 1930 to 2639 of the family's 2925-position model. The record is from RNAcentral. Lineage: Eukaryota; Metazoa; Arthropoda; Copepoda; Calanoida; Calanidae.
GCCGCGUUAGUGYUAAGGUAGCAUAGUAAUUAGUUUCUUAAUUGGGAAAUGGAAUGAAUGGUUUCACUAAAAUAUGAUAUUUAUUCUAAUUUGCGAAAUUUUAAUCUGAGUGAAAAUACUCAGAAGAUAUAUUUAGACGAGAAGACCCUAUGAAGCUGGUAGACUUCCAAUGUAAUUAUACGAUAGUUCAUGAGUUUAUUUUUUGGGGUAAAAUUUAAUAACAGUAUUAAUAUUGGCUUACUAAAUAAUAUCCUCUUGGAAUUAUGAAAAAGCUCCUCUAGGGAUAACAGCAUUAUGCUUAAAAGAGUUCUUAUCAGAAUAAGCGUUUGUGACCUCGAUGUUGAAUUAAAUACUCUUAUAUGUGCAGGAGCUUAUAAGAGAUGGUCUGUUCGACCAACUACAUUUACAUGAUUUGAGUUAAAAUCGACGCAAGUCAGAUUGGUUUCA